GUGGAUAGUCUCCCUUCUCAAGGAUAAACUGCUGGCCCUGGAACUCAGGGUACUCAUAACCCAACCAGCUAAAACACAGGCGGGGAGAGAGAGGGAACGAGAACGAAAGAGAGAAAACAGAGCGUCAGGAACUAAUCCUCCUAAGGACCUGACAGCGCAUGCAGGUGACAUCUGCUCUGUGAAUGGCUCUGCGUAGGAGUGGACCACAACAGGCCGGCAGGUUUUACCCGAGGACAGCGAACGCGUCCCUAAUGGCAACCUAUUCCCCAUACAUGAUUGGUUUUAAAGAGAGAGGAUUCUCCAGUGGACACCUGUCGCAUGGGGCGUUGCUCAGUUCCAAUAUUGACACAAUAGUCUGGGGAGUGCAGAUUAGUUCAACUCCUCUCUAUUAUGCCAACCCUCCCCUCUCUAUGCAAACCGACAGUGUGUUGCGCUCCCUCCAAUUGACGAAAUGGAAGGAUUCGCUGACCUUUGUGCUCACGCUGAACCUACAGAGAAUGGGCCAUUGAACAGUGGCUUCAUUCACCUGUGUUGAAGGUAGGAGAAAACCCACCUGCCUCCCCUGUUCCCAUGCCUACCUACUCCCAUGUCAUUUACACAUAUUUGCAUAUCAUGUGACUUGCAAAUGAGUUCCUUCAAUGCUCAACGUCAGA
This is a non-coding RNA of Oncorhynchus mykiss (rainbow trout), 653 nucleotides long. Lineage: Eukaryota; Metazoa; Chordata; Actinopteri; Salmoniformes; Salmonidae. The record is from RefSeq and is a predicted model, not a curated record.